RNAcentral lists this long non-coding RNA (849 nucleotides) under Olea europaea subsp. europaea. Lineage: Eukaryota; Viridiplantae; Streptophyta; Magnoliopsida; Lamiales; Oleaceae. The record is from RNAcentral.
CUAUAACCCUAAAAAUUAUUAUCAUUGUAUCCCUGAUUCUUACCUAUAAAUAUAAAGCUUUGGUUUUCAAUAAUACACACAAAAGUUUUAUUGAGUUUUCUCUAUUCUCUUUUCCUCUCAUUUUAUAACAUCGAAUAUAACUUUGGAUUUAUUUCAAGAAACGAUUGCAUUUUUGAGUUAUGAGUAUAAGAAAACUACUAAAAAAAUUUUAGGAAAUUUUCUUUCCUAUUUCUCGCCAAAUUGUUUAGGAUAGAAAUAAGUGAAUCUAUUAAUUUUCAAUAGCUACAUACAGGAUCCGAAAUUAAUGGCAAAAAUCAAUUAAUUGGGAGUGGCCUUUCAGCAAAAUCUAUGCAAUUACCAAUGGCUUACCUGUCUGAAUUAGUACAGUAUUAAAUUUAACCUUUUUCACACUUCGAGGAAAGAAAGCCAGCAGCCACGCCAGUUCAACUUACGAAUCGAGCCUGUCCACAUGACAAAGGAAACAGACAGAGUUGUUCACCUUAAAACUCAAAGAAAAAGGGAGUGAAUCUCUGAAAUGAUGAUCAAAUUUGUGGGAAAAUGGAGACCUUCCCAUGAAGCAAUUGACUUGCAAUAUACUAGCCAUCUUUCUCUGCAUAGAAAGCCAGCAGCCACGCCAGUUCAACUUACUAAUCGAGCCUGUCCACAUGACAAAGGAAACGGACAGAGUUGUUCACCUUAAAACUCAAAGAAAAAGGGAGUGAAUCUCUGAAAUGAUGAUCAAAUUUGUGGGAAAAUGGAGACCUUCCCAUGAAGCAAUUGACUUGCAAUAUACUAGCCAUCUUUCUCGGCAUAGAAUGUAAGAAACAAGAGAAAACUGUUAAUUUCUUG